GGAAAAGACAGACCAGGAAUAGUGUUUCUAUGUUAGGAUCAUGGCUUUACUGGGCCAUUCCAAAAAGACACCAGGCCCUGUCUGUGAAGAGCUUCUUCCUGGUUUUCAUUGGCCUCUUCCAGAUUGCAAAAUGCUGGCAGAUGUUACCCUUGUUAAAUGCACUAGAUUUAUUUUAUUUUAUUUUAGCCUGACUAAGAAUGUUUAGAUCUUUACCUAGGAAUGGAAAGCUGAAGGCUGUUCAUCAGAAGUGGUAAUGGAAGGAGGCUGCAGGGUGGCUCACAAGUCACACCCUACAGGACCUAGAGGAAAUGCAAUUAGUGCCAUCACCUUCAGAGAAGCCACUUAGUCGCUUAAAGAAAAAUCUACUGCUUCUUUGGGAGAUAAAAAGCAUCCCUUCCUGAUUUCUUGUGAGGAGGUGCUUUGGAGAGAGACUAUCUACCAAGAGAAACACUGUUGGGCUGGUCAAACAUUUUUAGAUGCCAGGUACUGAAAAACAAAAGGGUGCUUUCAUCAGAAGAAAAGUAGCUCGCAAACAAGUUGCAGGCUGUCUCUUGGACUCCAUGGAAGCCAGCUAGUUCUGGGAGACCCUUAAGUUCACAGAGCACAGAUAAAGGCUAAGGAAGUGCUUGAGAAACCCAGGAUGAAUAAUGCACUUAUCCAAAACCAAGAAUGCUUUUCUAGUAACAGUUUCUCAAUAUUCACUUUUUGUGUUACUUAAAUCAGUCUAAAGGAGUUGCAUAUUUGCAACUAGGCUAGUCUUUGCUAGGCUGUGUAGGGAUGGAGUCAGGAAAGCCAAGGCGCAGCUUGAACUAAACUUGGCAAGGGAUACCAAGAAGAAAAAGGAUGGCUUCUACAGGUACCUCAACAAGAAAAGGAAAGUCCAGGACAGAGUACCCUGACAGUGAGUGACACAGACAAGCUGAUAACAACAGACGAGGAGAAGGCUGAGGUACUUAACAGCUUUUUUGCCUCGGUCUUCUCUGAUAACUGCUCACCACACAGCCUUCAAAUGUCUGGUUUGGUAGGAGAGGAUCCAGGAAGGAACGUCCCUCUCACUGUAAGCAAUGAUCAAGUUUGUUACCACCUGAGGAACAUGAACAUCCACAAGCCUCUGGGUCCCGAAGAGAUGUAUCUCAGAAUCCUGAGGAAACUGGCUGAUUUAGUUGCCAAGACACUCCUAGUGAUAUUUGAAAAGCUGUGGCAGUCAGGUGAAGUCUCUGGUGACUGGAAAAAAGGCAACAUCACAUCUAUUUUUAAGAAGAGUAAAAAGGAUGACCCCAUGAAUUACUGACCUGUUAGUCUCACCUCUGUGCUGGGGAAGAUCAUGGAGCAGAUCCUCCUGGAAGCUAUUCUUAGCCACAUGGAAAGCAGGGAGAUGAUACAGGAGAAUCAACAUGCCUUCACCAAGGGUCCUUGUGGCCCUCCUCUGAACCUAUUCCAACAGGUCUAUGUCUCUGUUGUGCUGGAGACCCCAGGCCUGGACGCAGCACUUCAGGUGGGACCUCAUGAGAGCAGAGCAGAGGGGGACAAUUACCCCCCUUGCCCUUUUGUUUGCCCCUUUUUUCAGGGGCAUGAGCUGCUGGCUCAUGUCGAACUUUUCAUCCACCAAUUCCCCCAAGUCCUUCAACACAGGGCAAUUCAAAAUAAUUUAUCCUUUUGCCUAGAACAAAGCAAGGAGUCUGAAAAUUGCCCCACUCAGUGUGUUAUUGGGAUUAACGCAGGAUUUGCUGUUAGCUGUUGCUACCAAGUGA
RNAcentral lists this long non-coding RNA (1751 nucleotides) under Gallus gallus (chicken). RNAcentral describes it as "lncRNA (ENSGALG00010016352.1)". The record is from RNAcentral. Lineage: Eukaryota; Metazoa; Chordata; Aves; Galliformes; Phasianidae.